ACAAAGAAGAGUUUGAUCCUGGCUCAGGAUGAACGCUAGCGAUAGGCCUAACACAUGCAAGUCGAGGGGCAGCAUAGAGUAGCAAUACUUUGAUGGCGACCGGCGCUACGGGUGAGUAACACGUAUGCAACCUACCUACAUCAGGGGAAUAACCCGGAGAAAUUCGGAC
Molecule: non-coding RNA, 169 nt
Filed under: Dysgonomonas mossii DSM 22836
Lineage: Bacteria; Pseudomonadati; Bacteroidota; Bacteroidia; Bacteroidales; Dysgonomonadaceae
Description: Bacterial small subunit ribosomal RNA
Rfam family: Bacterial small subunit ribosomal RNA
Source: Rfam by way of RNAcentral